AACGAAGAGGCUGGGAGAUUAUUAUUGGUUUAUAGUAAAUAUUUUAUAAAUGAGUGGUUAAUAAAGAUAACUAAGUGAAAUUUUUAUCUUUUAAUCUCUUAAUAUAUGAUGCUAUGAAAGUUAGGGUAUAAACUAGGAUUAGAUACCCUACUAUACUAACAGUAUCUUAGAAACUUGAGUAGUAGUAGAUAUUUUCUUGAAACUCAAAGAAUUUGGCGGUGUUUUAGUCUUACCAGAGGAACCUGCCCCGUAAUCGAUAAUCCACGAUAAAUUCUACUUAAUUAAGUAGAACAGCUUGUAUACCGCCGUCAACAGGGUGUCUCUAGAGAGAACUCCCAAGGAUCUUAUUUAAGAAUAAUGUCAGGUCAAGGUGCAGUCAAUGAUUAAGUGUGAGGUGGGUUACAAUAAAAAAAUAUUAAACGGAUUAGGUUCUGUAAAGGGCCUAUGAAGGUGGAUUUGGAGGUAAUAAAUUAAAGUAAAGAUUUAUGGGCUAGCUCUAAAACAUGCACACAUCGCCCGUCGCUCUCAUUUAUUAAGGUGAG
RNAcentral lists this ribosomal RNA (542 nucleotides) under Paraleptophlebia japonica. RNAcentral describes it as "partial 12S ribosomal RNA". Lineage: Eukaryota; Metazoa; Arthropoda; Insecta; Ephemeroptera; Leptophlebiidae. The record is from RNAcentral.